ACUCAAAGGAAUUGACGGGGGCCCGCACAAGCGGUGGAGCAUGUGGUUCAAUUCGACGCAACGCGAAGAACCUUACCUGGGCUCGAACGGCUCGUGACAGCCGGUAGAAAUAUCGGUUUCCCGCAAGGGACUAGAGUCGAGGUGCUGCAUGGCUGUCGUCAGCUCGUGUCGUGAGAUGUUGGGUUAAGUCCCGCAACGAGCGCAACCCUUGUCCUGUGUUGCCACUCCGCAAGGAAGCACUCUCAGGAGACCGCCAGCGAUAAGUUGGAGGAAGGUGGGGAUGAUGUCAAGUCAUCAUGGCCUUUAUGUCCAGGGCUACACACGUGCUACAAUGGGCGGUACAAAGCGCUGCAAACCCGCGAGGGGGAGCUAAUCGCAAAAAACCGUUCUCAGUUCGGAUCGCAGGCUGCAACUCGCCUGCGUGAAGCUGGAAUCGCUAGUAAUGGCGUAUCAGAAUGAUGCCGUGAAUACGUUCCCGGGCCUUGUACACACCGCCCGU
This 499-nucleotide ribosomal RNA is filed under the name uncultured bacterium. Its description in RNAcentral is "partial 16S ribosomal RNA". It matches the Rfam family "Bacterial small subunit ribosomal RNA", at positions 899 to 1397 of the family's 1533-position model. The record is from RNAcentral.